This 98-nucleotide ribosomal RNA is filed under the name Humboldtia decurrens. RNAcentral describes it as "partial 18S ribosomal RNA". It matches the Rfam family "Eukaryotic small subunit ribosomal RNA", at positions 1739 to 1831 of the family's 1831-position model. The record is from RNAcentral. Lineage: Eukaryota; Viridiplantae; Streptophyta; Magnoliopsida; Fabales; Fabaceae.
ACGUUCGCGAGAAAGUCCACUGAAACCUUAUCAUUUAGAGGAAGGAGAAGUCGUAACAAGGUUUCCGUAGGUGAACCUGCGGAAGGAUCAUUGUCGAU